This 493-nucleotide ribosomal RNA is filed under the name uncultured bacterium. RNAcentral describes it as "partial 16S ribosomal RNA". It matches the Rfam family "Bacterial small subunit ribosomal RNA", at positions 29 to 507 of the family's 1533-position model. The record is from RNAcentral.
ACGAACGCUGGCGGCGUGCUUAACACAUGCAAGUCGAACGGAAAGGCCUGCUUUCCCUUGUGGAUUGCGGGUACUCGAGUGGCGAACGGGUGAGUAACACGUGAGUGAUCUGCCCCCAACUUGCGUAUAAGCCUGGGAAACUGGGUCUAAUUCCCGAUAGGACUGCAGGGUGGUGCCUGUGGUGGAAAACGAUUUUCUAGUGGUUGGGGAUGAGCUCGCGGCCUAUCAGCUUGUUGGUGGGGUAAUGGCCUACCAAGGCGGCGACGGGUAGCCGGCCUGAGAGGGUGGACGGCCACAUUGGGACUGAGAUACGGCCCAGACUCCUACGGGAGGCAGCAGUGGGGAAUAUUGCACAAUGGGCGGAAGCCUGAUGCAGCGACGCCGCGUGGGGGAUGACGGCCUUCGGGUUGUAAACUCCUUUCGACCGCGAGGAAGCCACCUGGUUGGAAGGGUGGUGACGGUAGUGGUAGAAGAAGCACCGGCUAACUACGUG